CCCUUCCCUCUCUUCCUCUUCCUCAGAGCCAGGGGAAAGAAAACAGCAGUAAACAACUGUAUGGCUCUGUAUUCCACAGAAAUAAUAUUCUAUUGCGUAUGUUGUUAGAAACAGUGAUUUCAUUGGAUUUCUUCUUUGUUUUGUCGAAGUCAAUUAAGAACUAAUUCUUAUUUACAAUGACAACCUGUCCAGAGGUCAGACAACAGUUAAAUAGAACAACACACAGACAUCAGACAUUAAAAGAGAUCACCAUGACAGAUACACAAGACAUAUACAUGGCAACAGUGGUUUCAUUGGUUAGCAGUACUGCUAAAAACUCUGUGCACAUCUAUGGAGUCGAAUAGGUUUUGAUUUUGCAUUUAUUUGCAUAUGUUGAUAGAAUGAUAGAAAUCAUAGUGCUCGUCAGAUCUGUUGUUACUCAGACUUGUAGGAAAACCUCUGAGUUUGAGCACCUCGUUUUGUAGAUUUUGUAAUGUUAUUGAUCUUCAACCAGAUAUGAAGGAGAGGAGAAAACAUGAAGGGGAAAAAGGAAGGUGGGGAAAGAGGAAGGUGGAAGUCUCCGGGAUUGAACCCCUGCUACUAGGAUUACAUCCUGAUUCCAGAAUGCAGUGCUACCACUAGACCAAACUCAAACUAGUCWUGGAACAGAUAAAGUCAUUAUUUUACAGUUCAACCUGKCCAGAGGCCCACAUGAUGGAGAAGCAAGAAUAAACACUCAAAUGAUCAACCUGACAAGGCAGUCCCAGAACCCCUCUCUGGAGAGACCAACCCUCCUCCCAGCAUCACCCCUCUUCCUGGUCCAGUCCAGUGUGUAGACAACCCCUCAGGUGAUACUGGAGAGGUGGUCUACGACACGACACAUUUCCCAUCAGAGAUCAGCCUCCUGGUCCAGUCCAGUGUGUAGACAACCCCUCAGGUGAUCCUGGAGAGGUGUCUACGACACAGAACAUUUCCCAUCAGACAUCGGCUUCUGUGAAGUGUAAAGUGUGACGGUUCAUCCCCUAGAUCUAUCCGCUGCCGGUUGGGUGCCUCAGUCUCUGCACACUC
This is a long non-coding RNA of Salvelinus sp. IW2-2015, 1047 nucleotides long. RefSeq lists it as uncharacterized. Lineage: Eukaryota; Metazoa; Chordata; Actinopteri; Salmoniformes; Salmonidae. The record is from RefSeq and is a predicted model, not a curated record.